UUUCUAUGGAAGCUUGCUCCACUGAGAAGAUAGUGGCGAACGGGUGAGUAACACGUGGGUAACCUGCCCAUAAGAGGGGGAUAACAAUCCGGAAACGGGUGCUAAUACCGCAUAGUUUUCUUGAUCGCAUGAUUGAGAAAGGAAAGACGGCCUUUGUGCUGUCGCUUAUGGAUGGACCCGCGGCGUAUUAGUUAGUUGGUGAGGUAAUGGCUCACCAAGACGAUGAUACGUAGCCGACCUGAGAGGGUGAUCGGCCACAUUGGGACUGAGACACGGCCCAAACUCCUACGGGAGGCAGCAGUAGGGAAUCUUCCGCAAUGGACGAAAGUCUGACGGAGCAACGCCGCGUGAGUGGAAAGAAGGUUUUCGGAUCGUAAAACUCUGUUGUCAGAGAAGAACAAGUUGGAGAGUAACUGCUCCAGCCUUGACGGUAUCUGACCAGAAAGCCACGGCUAACUACGUGCCAGCCGCCGC
Molecule: ribosomal RNA, 474 nt
Filed under: uncultured bacterium
Lineage: Bacteria
Description: bacterial SSU rRNA
Rfam family: Bacterial small subunit ribosomal RNA
Source: RNAcentral